RNAcentral lists this ribosomal RNA (345 nucleotides) under uncultured fungus. RNAcentral's name for it is "eukaryotic LSU rRNA". The stretch from base 15 to 168 matches the Rfam family "5.8S ribosomal RNA". Lineage: Eukaryota; Fungi. The record is from RNAcentral.
UAUAUAAUAGUGAAAACUUUCAACAACGGAUCUCUUGGUUCUGGCAUCGAUGAAGAACGCAGCGAAAUGCGAUAAGUAAUGUGAAUUGCAGAAUUCAGUGAAUCAUCGAAUCUUUGAACGCACAUUGCGCCCGCUAGUAUUCUGGCGGGCAUGCCUGUUCGAGCGUCAUUUCACCUCUCAAGCCUAGCUUGGUGUUGGGGGACGUCCAGCCCUACGGGGCGUGGACCCCCCCUAAAACUAUCGGCGAUUCGGUGCCGGCUCUGAGCGUAGCAGAAACCUCGCUCUGUGGGCCCGGUGUCGCGUUGGCCGCUAACCACUUCUCAAGGUUGACCUCGGAUCAGGUAG